CCUACGGGAGGCAGCAGUGAGGAAUAUUGGUCAAUGGACGAGAGGCUGAACCAGCCAAGUAGCGUGAAGGAUGACUGCCCUACGGGUUGUAAACUUCUUUUAUAUGGGAAUAAAGUGCUCCUCGGGUGGUGUUUUGUGUGUACCUUAUGAAUAAGGAUCGGCUAACUCCGUGCCAGCAGCCGCGGUAAUACGGAGGGUCCGAGCGUUAUCCGGAUUUAUUGGGGUUAAAGGGGGCGUAGGUGGCAUGUUAAGUCAGGUGUGAAAGUUUGGGGCUCAACCGUAAAAUUGCAGUUGAAACUGGCAGUCUUGAGUACAGUAGAGGUGGGCGGAAUUCGUGGUGUAGCGGUGAAAUGCGUAGAUAUCACGAAGAACUCCGAUUGCGAAGGCAGCUCACUGGACUGCAACUGACACUGAGGCUCGAAAGUGUGGGUAUCAAACAGGAUUAGAUACCCGAGUAGUC
This 460-nucleotide ribosomal RNA is filed under the name uncultured bacterium. RNAcentral describes it as "partial 16S ribosomal RNA". It matches the Rfam family "Bacterial small subunit ribosomal RNA", at positions 338 to 795 of the family's 1533-position model. The record is from RNAcentral.